This 343-nucleotide unclassified non-coding RNA is filed under the name soil metagenome. RNAcentral describes it as "partial contains 5.8S ribosomal RNA, internal transcribed spacer 2, and large subunit ribosomal RNA". The stretch from base 1 to 120 matches the Rfam family "5.8S ribosomal RNA", at positions 35 to 154 of the family's 154-position model. The record is from RNAcentral.
GAUGAAGAACGCAGCGAAAUGCGAUAAGUAAUGUGAAUUGCAGAAUUCAGUGAAUCAUCGAAUCUUUGAACGCACAUUGCGCCCGCCAGCAUUCUGGCGGGCAUGCCUGUUCGAGCGUCAUUUCAACCCUCGAGCCCCCCCGGGGGCCUCGGUGUUGGGGGACGGCACACCUGCCGCCCCCGAAAUGCAGUGGCGACCCCGCCGCAGCCUCCCCUGCGUAGUAGCACACACCUCGCACCGGAGCGCGGAGGCGGUCACGCCGUAAAACGCCCAACUUUCUUAGAGUUGACCUCGGAUCAGGUAGGAAUACCCGCUGAACUUAAGCAUAUCAAUAAGCGGAGGA